RNAcentral lists this long non-coding RNA (671 nucleotides) under Homo sapiens (human). Its description in RNAcentral is "novel transcript". The record is from RNAcentral. Lineage: Eukaryota; Metazoa; Chordata; Mammalia; Primates; Hominidae.
CUGAGAAUUCUCUCGCCUGCCUUUGGCCCUUAGGCUCUGGUAGAUUGCAAAUAACAUGCUUUCUUUCUGUUCCCGGGUGGCUUCGGACCCCUGUCGGAUCGGAAAUCCCAAGGAGGCGUCGGACCCCGUCCGAUAGUAAAUCCCAAGUAAGGUACCUGCCGUCGGCAGAUUUGAGCUUUCUGCCUGGACACCUAAUACCCACAGUCCUCCAGUCAAUCCCAAUUAAGGUACCCGCCGUCGGCAGAUUUGAGCUUUCUUCUUGGACACCUAAUACCCACAGUCCUCCAGGCUCUGGUAGAUUGCAAAUGACCUGCUUACUUUCUGUUCCCGGGCUGCGUUCUGACACCUGUUGGACAGUAAAUCCCAAGUAAGGUACCUGCCUUCGGCAGAUUUGAGCUUUCUUCUUGGACACCUAUACCCACAGUCCUCCAGGAGGGUCCUAAGGCUCCGGUAGAUUGCAAAUAACCUGCUUUCUUUCUGUUCCCGGGCUGAGUUCGGACCCCUGUCGGAGAGUAAAUCCCAAUGUUUUAGACGCCCAGUUGCACAACUUGAUUGCCUUACAAAUGACCUGCUUCCAGGAUGCGGAAAUUCCUAAUUUCUUCUGUGACCCUUCUCAACUCCCCCAUCUUGCAUGUUGUGACACCUUCACCAAUAACAUAAUCAUGUAUUUC